RNAcentral lists this ribosomal RNA (498 nucleotides) under uncultured bacterium. RNAcentral's name for it is "bacterial SSU rRNA". It matches the Rfam family "Bacterial small subunit ribosomal RNA", at positions 36 to 518 of the family's 1533-position model. The record is from RNAcentral.
CUGGCGGCGCGUUUAAGCAUGCAAGUCGAGCGGCAGGGGGGCCUCGGUCCCCCGAGAGGCGGCGGACGGGUGAGUAACACGUGGACAACCUGCCCCCCGGUUCGGGAUAGGCCCAGGGAACCUGGAUCAAUACCGGAUGCGAGGGCGGCCGCACAAGCGGCCGUCGGGAAAGGCGCUUCGGCGCCGCCGGGGGAUGGGUCCCGCGUCCCAUUAGCUAGACGGUGGGUAACGGCCCACCGUGGCGAUGAUGGGUAGCCCGGCCUGAGAGGGUGGACGGCCACAUUGGAACUGAGACACGGUCCAGACUCCUACGGGAGGCAGCAGCUAAGAAUCUUCCGCAAUGGGCGAAAGCCUGACGGAGCGACGCCGCCGUGAACGAAGAAGGCCGUGAAGGUUGUAAAGUUCUUUUCGGGAGGGGGGAACGAGGCUGCCAGGCAAUGGGCGGCCGAUGACGUGAAUCCCGGAAUAAGCCCCGGCUAACUACGUGCCAGCAGCUGC